GUGAGGUAGAGCAAAUCACAAAACUCGGCCUCAGUUCAGAUUGCAGGCUGCAACUCGCCUGCAUGAAGUUGGAAUUGCUAGUAAUCGCGAAUCAGAAUGUCGCGGUGAAUACGUUCCCGGGCCUUGUACACACCGCCCGUCACACCAUGAGAGUCGAUAACACCCGAAGCCUGUGAGCUAACCGUAAGGAGGCAGCAGUCGAAGGUGGGGUUGAUGAUUGGGGUGAAGUCGUAACAAGGUAGC
RNAcentral lists this ribosomal RNA (243 nucleotides) under uncultured bacterium. RNAcentral describes it as "partial 16S ribosomal RNA". It matches the Rfam family "Bacterial small subunit ribosomal RNA", at positions 1257 to 1500 of the family's 1533-position model. The record is from RNAcentral.